RNAcentral lists this ribosomal RNA (694 nucleotides) under uncultured bacterium. RNAcentral's name for it is "bacterial SSU rRNA". The stretch from base 1 to 571 matches the Rfam family "Bacterial small subunit ribosomal RNA", at positions 338 to 873 of the family's 1533-position model. The record is from RNAcentral.
CCUACGGGAGGCAGCAGUAAGGAAUAUUGCGCAAUGGGCGAAAGCCUGACGCAGCGACGCCGCGUGGGGGAUGAAGGUCUUCGGAUUGUAAACCCCUUUCGGGAGGGAAGAUGGAAUGAGCAAUCAUUCGGACGGUACCUCCAGAAGCAGCCACGGCUAACUUCGUGCCAGCAGCCGCGGUAAUACGAAGGUGGCAAGCGUUGUUCGGAUUUACUGGGCGUACAGGGAGCGUAGGCGGUUUAGUAAGCCCUUUGUGAAAUCUCCAGGCUUAACCUGGAACAGUCGGAGGGGACUGCUAAGCUAGAGUACGGGAGAGGAGCGCGGAAUUCCCGGUGUAGCGGUGAAAUGCGUAGAGAUCGGGAGGAAGGCCGGUGGCGAAGGCGGCGCUCUGGAACGUUUCUGACGCUGAGGCUCGAAAGCGUGGGGAGCAAACAGGAUUAGAUACCCGUGGUACGUCCGACCGUACCUUAAACUAUAGUAACUAACGUAAGGUCGGUCCGGGUUACCGGGUUUACCCGGUACCGGGUCGGCCCGCGACGACCGUAACCGACGUAACGUUAAGUUACGUUCCCGUCCGGUACGGGUAACGGGUACCGGGUCCGGACCGUAACGGUUAGGUAAACGUUAAAGUUAAGUAAGUUAGGUACGGCGUGGUAGUACGUUCGACCGAACGGACGACGACGGAGGGAGGAGG